CAGCAGUGGGAAGUAUUGCACAAUGGGCGCCAAGCCUGAUGCAGCCAUGCCGCGUGUAUGGAAGAAGGCCUUCGGGUUGUAAAGUACUUUCAGCAGUGAGGAAGGUGGGUAUGUUAAUAGCAUACUCAUUUGACGUUAGCUGCAGAAGAAGCACCGGCUAACUCCGUGCCAGCAGCCGCGGUAAUACGGAGGGUGCGAGCGUUAAUCGGGAAUUACUGGGCGUAAAGCGCAUGCAGGUGGUUUGUUAAGUCAGAUGUGAAAGCCCCGGGGCUCAACCUCGGAAUUGCAUUUGAAACUGGCAAACUAGAGUACUGUAGAGGGGGUAGAAUUUCAGGUGUAGCGGUGAAAUGCGUAGAGAUCUGAAGGAAUACCGGUGGCGAAGGCGGCCCCCUGGACAGAUACUGACACUCAGAUGCGAAAGCGUGGGGAGCAAACAGGAUUAGAUACCCUCGGUAG
RNAcentral lists this ribosomal RNA (456 nucleotides) under uncultured bacterium. Its description in RNAcentral is "bacterial SSU rRNA". It matches the Rfam family "Bacterial small subunit ribosomal RNA", at positions 349 to 793 of the family's 1533-position model. The record is from RNAcentral.